This 2073-nucleotide long non-coding RNA is filed under the name Hordeum vulgare. RNAcentral's name for it is "long non-coding RNA (HVUL_LNC019053)". The record is from RNAcentral. Lineage: Eukaryota; Viridiplantae; Streptophyta; Magnoliopsida; Poales; Poaceae.
UGUAGAAUCACCGCUUCACCUCCUGCAUGUUUGACAACAUUAAUAUUGCCGUGUAAAUAACCGGGAGUGAACUAAAUAAUUCAUAUGUGAAGUUUCGUCAAUAUGCAACUCGUGACAUAUUGAACUUCACUUAAUGUGUAGUGUUUGAUGGUGUGAACUGUCAUGCCGUGACUUGCAUGUAUUCAGUAGCUCAUGCAUCAUAUGUGUAGUGCAUCGUGUGGUAAAUUCCGUGUGUUGAUUUGUGUUUCCGGUUUGCUUCGUCUCGAUAGAGUUCCGCAGCGUGCCGGAUUGUGAGGACCUGUUCGACUACAUCGGUUCGUCUGCUUCACGGAGUUGUUCUUCUUCCAAGCAGGAUCUCAGGCAAGAUGAUCAUUUCCCCAGAUACCAUUACUAUCAUUGCCAUGCUAGUUAUUUCGAUGCCAUCGAUUAUGUCUCGUUGCCUACCACUUGUUAAAAAAUAGCCUCUCAACAAUGCCAUGAAUACCUUCAAACUGUUCGACCUAGCAAACCACUGAUUGGCUAUGUUACCGCUUGCUUACCCAUGUUGUUAGCGUUGCUAGUUGCAGGUGCAGAUGCUUCCAUGUGAUAACAUGGAUUCCUUGUCAUAUCACCCUAUUAAUGCUAUUUAAUUUAAUGCACCUAUACACUUGGUAAAAGGUGGAAGGCUCGGCCUUUCUAGCCUGGUGUUUUGUUCCACCUUUGCCCCCUUAGUUUCGGCUACCGGUGUUAUGUUCCAUAAAUGAAUGCUCCUAACACGAUCGGGGUUGUUAUGGGGACCCCCUUGAUAAUUCGUUUUAGAUUAAAGCUGGUCUGGCAAGGCCCAACUUUGGUACUACAUUUGCCUAAUAACUAAUGAACUGCAUAGGGAGUAAUUAACCCGAGGAGAUUUAAUCAACCCCCGGGCCAGUGCUCCUCAUGAGUGUUGGCCCCACCUGAGUGAUGUCCAGCGCCCCUCUGGUCACCCGGAGGUUUAGCGAUCCCGACGUCUAGCUCAUCCGCCGUGUCCUGAGAACGAGGUACGCGACUCCUAUCGGGAUCGUCGACACGUCGGGCGGCCUUGCUGGAUUAGUUUUACCUUUGACGAAAUAUCUUGUGCAUCGGGAUUCCGGUGAUGCUUUGGGUAAUCUCAGAGUUGAGGUUUUCCACUAGGGAAUCCGACAAGAUCGCAAGCUUCGUGAUUGAGGAUUUCUAUGCGGCUUGUGGUAAUUUGUGAUGGACUAGUUGGAGCACCCCUGCAGGGUUAAAUCUUUCGGAAAGCCGUGCCCGCGGUUAUGUGACAACGUGGAAGCUUUGUUUAACACUGGUUCUAGACAACUUGAAGCUAAUUAAUUAAAACUUGCCAACCGUGUGCGUAACCGUGACUGUCUCUUUCGUGAGUUCCUUCUCCGAUCGAGGACACGGUGGGGUUAUGUCUGACGUAUGUAGGUGUUCAGGAUCAUUCAUUUGAUCAUUAGUAGUCAUGCCCGCUAUGCGUAGAUCAUCCCCCCUCUUAUUUCCUGUACUCGUAAGUUAGCCACCAAAUAUGUGCUUAGUCGCUGCUGCAACCUCACCACUUAACCAUACCUCACCCAUUAAGCUCUGCUAGUCUUGAUACCUUUGGAAAUGAGAUUGCUGAGUCCCCUGUGGCUCACAGAUUACUACAACACCAGUUGCAGGUACAUGUAAAGGUUACUUGACGCGAGCGCGUUGAUUGUCCAUUUGGAGUUGCUUCUCCUUCUCCUUCUUCAUCGAUCUAGGAUGGGUUCCAUGCCGGCAGCCUGGGAUAGCAAGGAUGGACGGCGUUCUUCUUUUGUCGUUUGUUUUCGUCCGUAGUCGGACCCUGCUCUUACUCUUGAUGUUUAUGUAAUGUACUGAUGUGACUCUGAUGUAGCUUGUGGCGAGUGUAANNNNNNNNNNCUCUUUUUAUAUCUCUUCUUUUCAGUACAUGUUCUUGAAACGAUAUCCAUUCUUGCGACACGACGAGAUGCGCUUCUAUCCCUGACGAGGCCCCCGUGCCAAAUUGAGGAUAGGGUCGCAUCUUGGGCGUGAUAUCCGUCUAGCCAAGAUGUUUUGAACGCCUGGUUAACACGUAAG